Long non-coding RNA from Populus nigra (black poplar), 1901 nucleotides. RefSeq lists it as uncharacterized. The transcript has 3 exons. NCBI's taxonomy places the organism in Eukaryota, Viridiplantae, Streptophyta, Magnoliopsida, Malpighiales, Salicaceae. The record is from RefSeq and is a predicted model, not a curated record.
ACAAAAGAAGAGAUCUGAAAUUUAAGAACAAACCGUGAGAGAGAAGGGAGGAAGAAGAAGAAGAAGAGAAAAGAGGGGAAAAUAAGGGAAAAAGAAAAAGAAGUUGGAGGAAAUAAGUUUAAAGAUAAUCCUGAUAUUCUACCGGCGGGACGUCAGUAGGAUUUUCUUCGAUAUCAGCUUUGAGUUUUGUUGCUUUCGAGUCAGUUUGGGUUCGCAUAGGUAUGGAAUCUUGGAGGGGAACCUUGCCUAUGUGCCGGUCAUGGAUCCGGGACUCGGGUCGUGACACAUUGCUAACAGUAAAACAGUCCAGGCAGUCUGCUUGCAUCGCAGUUCUGACAAGCCGAGCUGAUUAACAAUAGAUGACUUGAUUGAUGAGUGCAAGAGUUUAUACAUUGCAGGACAAGAGACAAGAAGUGCACUUGCCCCUCACUUGUUGUCCAUGAAAGUCACUUUAUAACCAUCCAUUCCACCCGUCAUUUCCUCCUCCUCUCUUUUCUUUAUCAUCUUUAUAAUGCUUUUUAUUAUGCUUUGGUCAAGUUUCUCUGCUUCAAUAUCAUCGUGUCUUAAAGUAUUUUCUGCAUAAAACAAUAAAAAGUAAACGUGUGAAAGAUGCAGCCCAAUUUGUCUAUAGAAUAAUUGGAGAGACAAUAAGCUUCACCUGAUUCCUGGAAUUCUUAUUUCAUAAAGGUUUCUGCAUCCAAAAGCUGUCCUGGAAAUUAUUUCCGAUGUCAAAACUUUAAAGUCCUGGAAUACCGCAAUCUCCCUAUCGUCAUGAUUUUUCCGUCUUUCAAGCUUCACCUCCACACUCGAAAUCAAUUUUGGAAUCGUUUCCUAUAAAGAACAAAAAUAUUGUCAGUUAUUAGAAGAAGCUCUUCGACAUACCUAAAUUUCACCUCUAGUUGUUAAAAUAAACUAUUAAACUGUUGAAUAAUUAACACCUUUGCAUGAGUAUAUAAAUGUUGACAUAAAACUAGGUAAAUAUGUUUGAUGGACACUUGAGAAGCAACUAUCCACAGUAACAAAUUCAAGAAACUACUUUCAAGCUCUCUCCAUGGAAAACCUGAUUGACCAAUUGGCGCAGCUUAAACCGUUUUUCACCUCUAGUUGUCACAAUUCCAUCCCCAAACAGCUUCGUUAUACAAGGUCUGGGCUCAGCUUUGAGGUAAUUUCCAUCUCUAUUGUUCAAUAUCUCUUUAAUCUGUUCAUGUUCAGGAACUACCAAUUGUGCUUCACUACCUUUCCAUCAAAUGAAAUUCUCUUUACAAACCAUGUUUACAUGGUUAACAAAAUUAGUUAUUUGCAUGCAAGAAGCUUUCAAUCAAGAAGAGAGUUUUAAAUUUUAACAAACAUAUAUAUAUGGUUAAUAGUUAUAACAGUUACCAUGUAUCUUUAUUCAUAAAUAAAUGUGAGGUUGAACUCUAGGGAAUGGUUGAUGGCAUAAUUCCAUCUCUUAAGUUGAAGACCCCUUCAAAAUUUACCUGAAGGAAUCUGUAAGAAGGGCCUCUUACUCCUUGCGCAUGCAAGCUAGAAUUUAUGCAGAUUGGAGUCCACCAUACUUGGUUCAUGAACUUGAUGACAAGCGAAGGAAUGUAGAGCCAUACACAGCUUGUAAGGAAGAUAAUCGUUGUUCGCAUGGCCACCACUGCCAUGAUUUAUCGAGUAUGUACAGGUUUAGUAUUUUCAGAAUUUUUUAUAUCAGUGAGUUACAGAAUAGUGUUUGAAGCUUCGGAAUUUUGUCAAAUCAGACAAACUGGCCUUCUAAUAAAAUAAUCAUCAUAGACAAUGUCAUUAACAUAAAAAAAAAUCACACAAGUUUGAUAUAAGAUUGAUUGUUUGCCUGGAAGUUUCUGUCUAAUCAGGAUUGCAUAGGUUAGUGUUGCUUGUCGUAUCCCCACAUGAUA